CAAUCCCUGGUUCCGCGAAAAAACAACAACAACAAAACAAACAACAACAACAACAACAAGGGAGUGACUUCUUCCUUCUCUGGGGAAGUCUGAGCAGCAGUCUGGAGCCUCUAGAAAGAGCAGUUUCCAAUGCCCCACCCAAACCCGUCUUCUCUCCAUUCCACAAGUAGCACACCACCUCCAAACUCUGCUCAAAUUGUACUGUCCGCAUAGUGUUUGGAAGUAGCAUUCUCCUGUGGGACCUCUGGUUAGCCCAGUGACCCCCUGCAUAAGCUGUCCCCUGCAUCAGGCUAUCCCGCAACCCUUAUCUGGCUGGAUGUAUCCUUUACAUUUGUUUUGGCUAGUGACUCUGUCUACUCUUGCAGGAUCAGCUUGCCCCAGGGCUAGGCUCACAGGGAGCUCUGUUCUCACAAGGCCAGGGUGGUCUGCAGUGGGCACCCAAAGGCAGUUGAUGCAGGGAGUAUGGUUGGUUACAGCACAGCGCAGGGCCACACCUAAGUGUUUUUAGGUUCCUAACAGGUCCUGGUAUUAAGGGAGAUUUGACAUGGUUUGUGCCUGGACUGUGCAGCUACCUUGUAUAGUGACGUCCUGCAGAGCUUCCCAGAUUUGGGCUAAAGAUGAAGA
Molecule: long non-coding RNA, 624 nt
Organism: Octodon degus (degu)
Lineage: Eukaryota; Metazoa; Chordata; Mammalia; Rodentia; Octodontidae
Exons: 2
Source: RefSeq, a predicted model, not a curated record